UCCCUGGUGGCCUAGUGAUUAAGGAUCUGGCAUUGUCACUGCUGUGGCCUGGGUUCAAUCCCUGGCCUGGGAA
RNAcentral lists this transfer RNA (73 nucleotides) under Sus scrofa (pig). It matches the Rfam family "tRNA". Rfam says of the family: Transfer RNA (tRNA) molecules are approximately 80 nucleotides in length. Their secondary structure includes four short double-helical elements and three loops (D, anti-codon, and T loops). Lineage: Eukaryota; Metazoa; Chordata; Mammalia; Artiodactyla; Suidae. The record is from Rfam by way of RNAcentral.